GAUUGGACGAGGCCCACCCACCUUGGGGAGGGGCCAGCUGCUGUGUUCAGUCCGCCAUUGCAAACACGAAGCUCUUCCAGAAACGCCCUCACAGACACCCCGGAAGUCACGUACCCACUCUGUAGGUGCCCCGGGGCACAGGCAAGCGGACGAGCCAGUUAUCCCUCAGAGCUCCUGCUGCCUCGCCCGCUUUCUCUCGGAAACGUGAAGUGUGGCCUCAGCUGAAAGUGAGGCAGCUGAGGCGGAGGAACCCUAAGGGCUCAUUGAGAUCAUGGAUUUGCCCUUCUAUGCAUUGAUGGAGCACCUGCUGCCCACAGCGUCUGUAUUUGGUGCUGGGAUGCUGAGCCUCCUUCUUUAUGAAUUUUUAAAAGGACACUGAGAUCUUCAAACAGAGGCUGCCACUCUAAGCAAACAGAUCCCGAGCCCUGGACUCUGAAGCUUGGGCCCAGUUCUCCUUUUCUCCGGGUUUCAGAUCCCACUGUGAAGUGAGGGGGCCCUUCUGAUUCAGGACCCGGGGAAGCCAGGGGCAUGAGCAUCGGUGCCUCUUCUCUAUUUCAAGGACCCUUCUGGGUGUAAAGUUCUCUGAGAUGCCUUACAUGGAUUCCCACCACUGCAAGAUAACCAUCGUAUGUAAAGUGUUAUGACCAGCAGAGCGUAAUUGAAGUGCAUUCCAGAGGGAAAGACAGCGGCUCAGUAAAUCAAAGGUUUCGCCAUCAUGUAAACCCUUGGGCGACAGAGUCUACCUGUCUCCCCCUGAUAUUGUUCUAUGAGAUUUCGAUGCUAUCUUCAUUGCCAGCAGCCCUGACAAAGAUGCACUGCAGACGGAUAGCCUCUCAGGGAACACUCCCUUUGUUAGGAAAAUCUGACAGCUGGAAGCCGUGAGUUCUUGGCCCCUUGCCCUGAAGCAAGAGUGACCAGGCCUCUCUCCUGAGGGAAGGCCUUCCCAGGUGGGGACAUAGGCCCUAAAGUGAGAACUGAAGCAUUGUCCACUCCCUCUUUGAUGCCACAUGCAUGGACGGUUCAGUGAAUGUCGUGGGAACUCAGCUGUGCCCACCCCUGCUUUGUUACCCCGGCACUUUGGGAAACAGCAGAGUCCAGCAGAAACCACUGAAGUUUUGGGCUCGGAGGGAUUCCAGUUCAAGCCCCGGCUUCACCACCUACAAGGUUCAAUUUUGGUCUAGGAAUGGAACUUCUCUGAGUCUUAGUUGCUGUCAUCAAUAUUAUUUUACUGUCAUCAUUAUUUAUAGUAAAAUAAUAACCUCUCAGACUCGAUAA
Homo sapiens (human) is the source of this 1275-nucleotide long non-coding RNA. Ensembl annotates it as epigenetically induced MYC interacting lncRNA 1. Its record names the gene EPIC1. NCBI's taxonomy places the organism in Eukaryota, Metazoa, Chordata, Mammalia, Primates, Hominidae. The record is from Ensembl.